Molecule: long non-coding RNA, 446 nt
Filed under: Pan troglodytes (chimpanzee)
Lineage: Eukaryota; Metazoa; Chordata; Mammalia; Primates; Hominidae
Description: long non-coding RNA NONPTRT016735
Source: RNAcentral
GACCAUACUGCCAAAAGCAAUCUACAGAUUCAAUGCAAUUCCCAUCAAAAUACCACCAUCAUUCUUCACAGAACUAGUAAAAACAAUCCUAAAAUUUAUACGGAUCCAUAAAAAGAGCUCACAUAGCCAAUGCAACACUAAGGAAAAAGAACAAAUCUGGAGGAAUCACAUUACCCAACUUCAAACUAGGCUACAGUUACCAAAACAGCAAGAUCGUGGUAGAAAAAUAGGCACACAGGCCAGUGGAACAACAUAGAGAACCCAGAAAUAAAGCCAGAUACUUACAGCCAACUGUUCUUAAACAAAGCAAACAAAAACAUAAAGUAGGGAACAUUUCAAAACUAAAUUUCCAUGUUCUCAUCACAAAAAAUGUUCAGUGUUUGAGGUGAUGGAUGUUAACUAGCUUAAUUAUUCCAUAUUAUACUCAUAAAUCGUAACACCAUUUU